CAGUUACCACAUCCUGGCCAUCCUACCUGGAUUUUCAGAGUGCCGUACAUGCCAGCCUGGCACAGGCUGGGGAGAGCGGCAAUCGUCAGGCUAGUCCCCUGACCUCAAAGCAUAAUGCGUUUUGUUCACCAUCAGCCUAAAGCUAUUGUAUUCGGUCUGUUUUGUUUGGUGGCUGGCACUGGGGGGUUGGAACAAAGUGAUCUUUAAGGUCCUUUCCAACCCAAACCAUUCUAUGAUUAACAAAGAUAAUUUUUUUAAUAGGAUAAGUAUUUUGCCCUGUUAAGUAUUCGCUGCCAAGCUGGUUGCUGCCAUGCAAAUUUCAAAGUAUCUCAUGUAACUGCAUUCCUGUGUGAGGAUGAGGAUAUCUUCUAUUUGGGGAUGCUUCUCUGAUGGCUGUAGAUGGGCAUAAUCUACUUCCUUUAUGAAGCCAUGCCUUGAAGUCUGCUGAAGAAAAGCAGAGGAUUAUAGCGCAGGCCACCAAGAGCAGAAGACCACGAUGGUAGCGGACGCCUUGAAGGAAUCACAUCUCACAGGGGAGACCUCAGAGCCAUUCUUCUACUUGCAAAUGGUGCUGCUCCACCAGCAUCCAGAAGACUGAAGUCCUCUGCCUGACCACCAGAGAGAAUUAUGACCUACUUGGUGGCUUGGCUUUGUGCUUGUGUUCGGCUCUUCGGAGAAACUAAUAGGUGGAGACUCCAAGACAGGCUGUAUUGCAUUUAUCCAGUAAACUUGUCACACAAGAAACGUUGUGCAGAAGUGCUCGGUCGGGUCCGCCUUCGCUGAAAGAGAUACUUGUAAAGAACGUUUACUUUUGAAACAUGUCACGUUAUAUUGCAAUGAAGAAAGAUGUUUUCAGGACUGGAGUUGCAUUUCUGGCUAUGGCUUACCAGCAGGGGAGAAACCUUUCACUGGUGCUUGCUGUUGGCAGACAAUGUCGACCUCAAAACCUCAACUGUGAAACUGCGGAGCAGUGAGAGGUGACAUACGGCCUCCUCUGUGUUUCAGAUGAGUGAGUAGUUCUGUACAAACUUUUGUAAAGAAGCCUGUGAAGGGCCAAAGUAACCAAACACUACAUUAUUUUUUUAAAUCCCCAGCAACCAAACGGGAAGGGAUGACAGAGCAGCCAUUUUCUCCUCCCUUCUUUUAUAUGUAUUUGCGUUUUUCAAAACAUUUCCCAAUGUUUUACUUGAAAUGGACCUCAAAUAUGAAAACUGCCCAUCUCAAAGCCUGAGCUCAUUCUAAUGCUUGCCUUGCAGAUCAAGGAAACAAAACCAACAAAAGCAACUUCUUUACAGAGGUGGAAUAUGUAUUGCUUAUCUACACAGGCUGCAUCAACUUAAGAGAAUAAAAUGUCAUGGCCUUUGCUCAGAAGUGGAGAUCUUAGCAACAGAAAUGUAAAUAGCAUUGAGCACAGAAUGCAGCAACCUGCACACAUAUGACACCUGUAUUAGAAUCACUGCUAUCUGACUUUUAGCUUUGAAAGAAAACUCUCUACGUUCCUGAAAGUUACCUAGAAUUCAGCCAGAUACAGGUCAGUGUAAAGUUAGAGCAAUUUCUCAGGAUAGAUAUUUACAGAAGGAGAAAAACAAUAAUUAAAGCCUGGGGACCUGGAAUCUGCAUGCCUGAGCUGCUCAUUUCAAAAUACUCAUUGGGUUUUUAAUUUUUUUUUCUUUUCACUACAGAAAGAAAUUGAUAACAAAAUUGAACAAGUUAUUUAGAAACUGAGGUCACCAGUACUCUCUUGCUUUUCGAAUGUUUCUUUUUCUCUUCUCAAAUACUCCAGAAAUUUUCUGUCAAGUUGCAAAGCCAGGUGGCUUUGGUGGCAGUUCUUAGCUGAAUUGCUUAAUGAUGGACCUAGAAAAGGCAAAAACUAUUUUAAAACAUGCAACAUAGUUCAAACCAAAGUUAUAGGCUCGCUGCAGAAAUUACUGGGUGAGGUUCUUUGGGCUAAGUCAAAGUGGAGGUCUAAUUAAAUGGUCAUUUUUGGCUUUAUAUCCAUGCAAGUGGUUUGCCUAAAAUAAGAUCACUGUGGAUCUCAUCUCAAAAGUUUGAUCAAAUCCCUUUUAAGGUUCUAAAAAUGUUCAUUAGAUGUUUCAUUCCUUAAAAUGUUUUAUCAGGAUUUUUCAUGUUCAAUACCCACAGGAUAUGAUAGGAAGCAAAAAGUCUGAGAUAGACGUCUUUCUGCUUCAGCUGUAGUAUAAGAAAUAUAAGGUGGUGGGUCACACCAAAGGUCCAGAUAACCUGGUGCCCUGCAGUUGCCUAUAGCAGAAAUAUAAGGACAGAGCAGUUACAGUUUCAUUUCUCCUCCUGUUUACCAUCUCAAUUUCUGGCAGUCUAAGGAUAGAAUUGGAGCCUCUGCCCAUCUCUCUGAAAGCAGUCUUCCAUUAAUUUGUCUAGUUACUUCUUGCAGCCCUUAGUAUUUUUGGCAUCUAAAGUAUCUCAUGACAAUGAAUUACCCCAAUUAAGAAGAUGUUGUUUAAGUAAUACUCCCAUUUGUUUGUUUUACACCUCCAUCUGAAAAAAAUAUUAAUAGAUUCAUCCUAGUUCUUAUAAGAAAUGAGUAAUUGCUCCCAUUUGCCAUCUAUUUUCCAGGUAGUCCCAGAGUACUUCAUCUGUCAUACUUAGAAGGCACUCCAUCUUUCUGAUAAAUCCGGUCACUCUCUUUUGUGUUUUUUCAUAUGUUAUUAUGAUGCUUAAGAUGCUACCACAUGUCGAGGUGUUAUAAGCAGAAUUUUGUGUUGUAUUAAAGGAAAGAACAUGAUUUCUGAGGAUUUAUAAAGUAGUAGUAUGUUUUAUGUUUGCUUUUUCAUUCUCUUCUUUCCUUAUCAGUCACAACUGCCUCUCUGAGCACCAAGAUAACAAUUUCAGAAAACUGUCCAUAGUGACUCCAAAGUAUCUUUGCUGACCGACAUGAACUAGUUUAGAGCCCACUAUAUUGCACAGGUAGAGAAGCUUUUUGUUCUCCUCUCGUGGACAUCUGUGAUCAUUGCAUUGUAGCUGCUAUUUUAUCACCUACUCAGUCUUUAUCAUGAUUUUUUUCUUUGCUAAUUUGUGCCAGAAGUCUUGGUUUUGGUUUUCCUGAAUAAUUGUGAAUCACCGGAAACCACUGUCAUCUCACUGUUCAAUCCUGUUUCACUUACCACUGGUGAGCAUGUUUUAAAGCAUAGGGCCCUUUGGAAUCUCACUGGUUACUCUCUUCUUUGUGAUCAUUUACCUGUUACUGAUCACAAAAGGAGCUCCCCUCUUGUGCUUUGUGAAAAUGUUUGGGGAAAUCUGUGUACAAAAUUGCUUAAUCUAGGCUGCAUGUUAAAUGUUUUUUAUGUCGUGUCUAUAGUCCCCUUAUUGUUCAGGCAGGGAAGAUACACAGAACACGCUCUGUCUCCCUCUGUCCCAUACAUUUGGAUUUCCUUUCUGUGGAAAUCAGACUGAGAGAAAAGGCAAGCUGGGAAGAGAAAGAGAGGAGGCACGAGACAGCAGAAGAUGGUACAUACUUGGUCUUCUUCCAACAGGGAGUUGGAUUACAGCUGACAGGGACUCCAAUGUCCCAAUGUUUAUAGAAAGUCUAUAUAAGCCAGCUCCUCUUUAUCAAUGUUUGCUGACAUUGCUGGCAUUUUUAAAACACUACCAGAUUUGCAGUUUAAAUCUCUUCCCAUUAUAUGGUGAUGAGCCAUAUGUUAGACUGACUGGUCUGUCAUUUCUAGGUUUCCCCUGAAGCCUUUUGUAAAAAUUGGAAUGUCAUAUGCCACUUUCCAGUCCUCCAAACAAAGUUCACUCCAAACCAUAAAUUACAAAACACAGUUAAUAGUCUGGCAAUUUCAGAUCCAAGUUCCUUUAGAACACUGGCAGGCAGGUACUGUACAAUUUACUGACUGGCUCCAAAACCAUACAUACUACGUUUUGUGAAUGCUUUUUUUUCUGAUUGUGCCCCUAAAAAAGAUUUUGUUAUGGCAAUCGCCUCAAAGUCUGCCAUAAGGAACAGUGGUAGAAAAAAAAGUACUUAGCUUUUCUCCUGUGGUUUCUUUGAGUGCUUCUGAUAUACCUCUGUUGCCUGCUAGUUCCACAUGUUCUCUGGCAGAUCUCCUGUUCUUGAUGUAUUUGGAAAAGUUCUUAUGCUUCAAAAUAUUUUUUUGGCCUGCUUUAUUAUGGUUUUAUAUUUAACUUGCCAGAGUUCUUCCUAUUCCUCUUUUGGCAGAAGCAGAAAAUAACAGUAUUCCACAAGUGCAAAUGCACAGAUGGCAUUCACAAAAGGCUCAGGUAUUUGCAGUGGGUAUCUAAAAAUGCAACCUUGUGCUACUUUGAUGCGUGUUAAAGGCAAAGGAGUUUGUUGAAGGCUGGAUGGAGAAAAAAGGAUUUAGCAAAAUGUGGUCUAGCGACUGUAGGUACUGAUGUUUCCCAUCAGCUUUCAUUCUCAGUGUAUUCCUAGAGGGUUAUCUUUUAAAUAUAUUUUUAAGAGAAAUACAACCAGCCUCCAAACUGGAUAAUAGCUGCAGCAAGCUUAUUAACACAAAUUAUUAUUUCACAGUAUUCUAACAACUAGUAUUGUGGAGCCCUAUUGCACCAGGUAUUGCACAAAUGUAAAGAGAAAGUUAGCUCCUGCCCCAAACAGCGACGUGGUUCUGUCCCCAUAGCUCACCUAGGACACCGCUGAACAAGCACGCUCGGUAUUUAUGUCAAUACUACAUUUUAACAGGGAUACCAAAGCCACGUUCAAGCACAAACUUGCCUACCAUUCACACUGAUCGGUGGAACACUCCACAUGGUUAUUUGGCCAAUCUCACUUUAAGGUUGUGCCUGUGCCCCUGAAGUUUACAUGAGCAAGGCGUGUAUGUCUAAGUGUUUUGCUGAAUCAGGACCCCACUUUAUAGAAAAUGGUAUCCGCUAUUAAACAUACAUUAUGCUUGAUCUUAGUGUUAAGUGCCUUGUCUCCUGCCCCUUUCCCAGCUAAACUCCACCUGUGGUGAGAGUCAUUCAUCCUGAAUUGCUUUAAUGCAGUGUUUAAGUAUGUCAUCUUGGCAACAAAGCAGUUUGCAUGGUAUUUCACUGAGAGGUUUAAAAUCCCAUUCACAUUUUUAAUAUACAUUUCCCUCACAUAAAUUAUCACAGCCUGGUUGGCAGGUCUUGCACGACUAAUAAGGUUUUUGGCACAAACACAUACCACAGAUCUAUUAAGUAAAGGAGAAGCUUUUGUUUGUUCCUACGUUUAUACGAGAGCUGUGGGGUUUAACUUGUACAGAAUAGUUUAAGAUACUGGCAUUUUACUAGCAGGACAUUGCUAGUCAUGAGACAUCAUAUCCUCCCCAAAAUGCAUAGCGCCAGUACAGAUAAAUCCCCAUGCACUGGUUUGAAAAUUAAGCUCUUGCUAUGUGAAGCAUCUAUGCAAAAGGCAGCUUUCCUGGCUUAUAUGCGCAGGCAGACUGUAGACGAAAACUUGCUCUUUUUAUAAAAGAGACCACUGCUGAAAGAGAAGUGAGCUGAAUGCACUUUUUACAUAUGAAAGGAACGUGCUCUCUUUCGAGUAAAUAAUGACAGAGUGCAUUUCAGUUUGCUUUUUCUCAUUCAUGAUUUUGGCAAGUGAUCAGUCAGGGUACGUAACACGUAACUCAGAAAUCAGAAUUCUGCAAAGUAAGUUCUCUGCUGAGCUCCACGUUAUACGGCCUGAACAAAGUCUGUACGCAAACAUCCUGCAGUGCAAUUUUGCUCCAUUGAUGUUGUAAGAGCAUGAGCUGGAGAACUUUGUCUCAAUAUCUAUUUUUAAAACAUUUAGCGCUCUUGCAAUGUAGGCCUGACCUGAAGUACUUUGCGCAGGGUGGGAAUCUUCCACUGCCUUUAUUUAGGGCUUUGAAUCAAGCCUUCUGUAAACAAGGAAUUAUAGGAAUAAUAAUGUAUUGCGAGGAAAUAACUUUGGAACCUUUAAUAUCUGUAUGUGUCACCAGUUUUGUGUUAGAUUAGCAAAACAUAUCCUUUCAUAACAGCUUAAGGUUACAUUUGCCAAACAAAUGUUGUGUAGUUCUGCAGUCACAUUGAGUGGUUUGGAUUGCUUCUCUAUUACAUGCUUUGUAUAAAGUAAUGUAUUAAUUAUUGUUAUUCUCAAAUUGAACAUAACUGUAUGUUUGAUAUAAACCAGGCUCAAGCGAAGAAAAUUAUACAAAAAUGUGAGUGGCAGACUUUGAAGCUUAUGUGCAAAGGGAUUAAAAUGCAUCUAUGCAAUUUGUGAAUAAAUUUGCCAUGAUCUGAAAGAGAAUUAUCAGUAAACCAAGACAACUCUGCAGCCAAGAAUCCCUUUAAUGCACAGAAGAAUAUAUCUUGUCCAGUGCUUGAGAGGCUGGCAGUAGUUCAGAAUGCAGUUAUUGGAUGUCUUUAGGUGCACCGCAAUCAGUUUGUCAAUGUAACUAUGGAAGUGUUUGAGAAGAGCUGUGACAACGUGGACACAAUAAGGAAUGGCAUUACUGAUGCUGUGUGUGUUAUUUUGGGGCUUUAUGAAAUCAUUGGCCUAGGAAUUGUUCAAUCCAGGGGAAACAUUCACGUUUCAAACUUUGUCUUAUUUAUAGAUUUUCAUUAAUAAAGUUUAAAUAACAGCAAUUUGAGUGUUUUCUAAUAAUAAUAAUUAAAAAGUCUAUUAUUCAAAAGUCUUCCAGAGAUUGUGCAUUAUCUAAAAUUCCUGCUUGACUACCUGCCCCUAAUUCAGUCUUCCAACCCUCGAUUCAACUUAGUUCUGAAAGAAGAUGAGACAACUAGAGAUCCUGCGUGUCCUAAUACUCACUCAGGAAAAGAGAAAGGAGGCUAAAAGUGUUUGGAUUAUUUAGUCCAUUGAAACAAAGAGGGUGUAACUGCUUUCUUAAAAAUAAUUGGGGGCAAAUACCACUAAAAGAUAGAAAGACUAUUUAAGGAAAAGAACAAAAUUGGCACAAGAACAAUUCAGGCUGAAACCGUACAGAAGGUUCCCAAACAUCAAAAGAAUGAGAUUUUAGAAAGCUUCCUAAUUAGAGGAGUACAUGCAAAGUCCCUUAGUAUUAUUCUGUAUCUUGCUAUGGUUAGGAAUUUAGUUGUGAAAUCCAAGAACUCA
This is an RNA transcript of Chroicocephalus ridibundus (black-headed gull), 7063 nucleotides long. It is a transcript of the gene named transmembrane protein 177, with no coding region annotated. The record is from RefSeq and is a predicted model, not a curated record. The transcript has 6 exons. Lineage: Eukaryota; Metazoa; Chordata; Aves; Charadriiformes; Laridae.